GAUGAACGCUGGCGGCGUGCCUAAUACAUGCAAGUCGAGCGAACAGACGAGGAGCUUGCUCCUCUGACGUUAGCGGCGGACGGGUGAGUAACACGUGGAUAACCUACCUCUAAGACUGGGAUAACUUCGGGAAACCGGAGCUAAUACUGGAUAAUAUAUUGAACCGCAUGGUUCAAUAGUGAAAGACGGUUUUGCUGUCACUUAUAGAUGGAUCCGCGCCGCAUUAGCUAGUUGGUAAGGUAACGGCUUACCAAGGCAACGAUGCGUAGCCGACCUGAGAGGGUGAUCGGCCACACUGGAACUGAGACACGGUCCAGACUCCUACGGGAGGCAGCAGUAGGGAAUCUUCCGCAAUGGGCGAAAGCCUGACGGAGCAACGCCGCGUGAGUGAUGAAGGUCUUCGGAUCGUAAAACUCUGUUAUUAGGGAAGAACAAAUGUGUAAGUAACUAUGCACGUCUUGACGGUACCUAAUCAGAAAGCCACGGCUAACUACGUG
This 497-nucleotide ribosomal RNA is filed under the name uncultured bacterium. Its description in RNAcentral is "partial 16S ribosomal RNA". It matches the Rfam family "Bacterial small subunit ribosomal RNA", at positions 28 to 507 of the family's 1533-position model. The record is from RNAcentral.